This 996-nucleotide ribosomal RNA is filed under the name Triticum aestivum (bread wheat). RNAcentral's name for it is "partial small subunit ribosomal RNA". The record is from RNAcentral. Lineage: Eukaryota; Viridiplantae; Streptophyta; Magnoliopsida; Poales; Poaceae.
AUGGAAGAUGUUAAGUGUGAAUUAUCAUAUGAGGAGGAGAUAAUAUAUGUGCCAAAUACUGGCAAGAGAUCAAGAGCAAAGAAGAGAGCUGUGAGGAAGUGGUAUAAUGAGGAACUUCAACAACCUGAAGAUCAAAUUUGUUGGCAGAUGUGUUUUGAGGAUGUGUAUCAGUUCAGAAGGGCCCUGGUGAACUUGCAUGUAACUCAGAGGAGGAAUUUCCACUAUCAUAGGAAUUGCAAGGACAGGAUAAUAGUUGACUGCAGUCAAGAGGGUUGCAACUUUCAUAUGACUGCCUCACAAGUGGGAAAAGAGAAAACCUUCUGCAUAAAGAAGCUCCAACUGCAGCACACAUGUCCUGUAAUUGGUGAGAACUGCAAAGUGCCCAUUAAGUAUGUGGCAAAGUCAAUUGAGAACAGCUUAAGGACAGAUCCUAGCACAUGUGUUGAUACUGUGAUAGAGAACACCAAGGAAAAGUUUGGUGUGGAGGUAGGCAAGAACAAGGCAUACAGGGCAAGAAAACUAGCUUUGGCAGUGGUCCUGGGUGAUCAGGAAAGGCAGUACACAAGAAUCAGGGACUAUCUUCAGACAGUGCUUGACACAAACCCUGGAUCUAGAUGUAUAGUUACUACUAGAGUUGUGAGAGAGAACCCAAAUACCAAUCCCAGAUUUCAUAGGUUGUUCAUGUGUCUUGGAGCAUCAAUUGAAGGUUUCUUGAAAGGAUGCAGGCCAUUCAUAGGUUUGGAUGGGUGCUUUGUAAAGCUGAGCACAAGACAACAAAUUCUAGCUGCCACUGCAAGGGAUGGUAAUAACAAUAUCUAUCCUAUUGCUUUUGGAGUGGUUGAAGUAGAGGACACACCUAGCUGGAGUUGGUUCCUCACACAGUUGAAAAUAGCUAUUGGUGGAGAAAAAAGGCAGUUUGGAUACUAUACAAUUAUCUCUGAUAGGCAGAAGGGACUUCUAAAUGCCAUAGAUGCAAUCUUUCCAAAUUGUCCUUAG